GACGAACGCUGGCGGCGUGCUUAACACAUGCAAGUCGAACGGAAAGGCCCUGCUUUUGUGGGGUGCUCGAGUGGCGAACGGGAGAGUAACACGUGAGUAACCUGCCCUGGACUUUGGGAUAACUUCAGGAAACUGGGGCUAAUACCGGAUAGGAGCUCCUGCUGCAUGGUGGGGGUUGGAAAGUUUCGGCGGUUGGGGAUGGACUCGCGGCUUAUCAGCUUGUUGGUGGGGUAGUGGCUUACCAAGGCUUUGACGGGUAGCCGGCCUGAGAGGGUGACCGGCCACAUUGGGACUGAGAUACGGCCCAGACUCCUACGGGAGGCAGCAGUGGGGAAUAUUGCACAAUGGGCGGAAGCCUGAUGCAGCAACGCCGCGUGCGGGAUGACGGCCUUCGGGUUGUAAACCGCUUUCGCCUGUGACGAAGCGUGAGUGACGGUAAUGUGUAAAGAAGCACCGGCUAACUACGUG
RNAcentral lists this ribosomal RNA (468 nucleotides) under uncultured bacterium. RNAcentral's name for it is "partial 16S ribosomal RNA". It matches the Rfam family "Bacterial small subunit ribosomal RNA", at positions 28 to 507 of the family's 1533-position model. The record is from RNAcentral.